ACACAUGCAAGUCGAGGGGUAUAGUUCUUCGGAACUAGAGACCGGCGCACGGGUGCGUAACGCGUAUGCAAUCUACCUUUCACAAAGGGAUAGCCCAGAGAAAUUUGGAUUAAUACCUUAUAGUAUAACCCAACCGCAUGGUUGAGUUAUUAAAGAUUUAUCGGUGAAAGAUGAGCAUGCGUCCCAUUAGCUAGUUGGUAAGGUAACGGCUUACCAAGGCAACGAUGGGUAGGGGUCCUGAGAGGGAGAUCCCCCACACUGGUACUGAGACACGGACCAGACUCCUACGGGAGGCAGCAGUGAGGAAUAUUGGACAAUGGGCGCAAGCCUGAUCCAGCCAUGCCGCGUGCAGGAUGACGGUCCUAUGGAUUGUAAACUGCUUUUGUACNNGAAGAAACANUUCUNCGUGNAGAACCUUGACGGUANNGUAAGAAUAAGGAUCGGCUAACUCCGUGCCAGCAGCCGCGGUAAUACGGAGGAUCCAAGCGUUAUCCGGAAUCAUUGGGUUUAAAGGGUCCGUAGGCGGUUUAGUAAGUCAGUGGUGAAAGCCCAUCGCUCAACGGUGGAACGGCCAUUGAUACUGCUAAACUUGAAUUAUUAGGAAGUAACUAGAAUAUGUAGUGUAGCGGUGAAAUGCUUAGAGAUUACAUGGAAUACCAAUUGCGAAGGCAGGUUACUACUAAUGGAUUGACGCUGAUGGACGAAAGCGUGGGUAGCGAACAGGAUUAGAUACCCUGGUAGUCCACGCCGU
Molecule: ribosomal RNA, 751 nt
Filed under: bacterium 107_oclvp18
Lineage: Bacteria
Also listed under: 1 other name
Description: bacterial SSU rRNA
Rfam family: Bacterial small subunit ribosomal RNA
Source: RNAcentral